This 396-nucleotide ribosomal RNA is filed under the name uncultured bacterium. RNAcentral's name for it is "partial 16S ribosomal RNA". It matches the Rfam family "Bacterial small subunit ribosomal RNA", at positions 523 to 918 of the family's 1533-position model. The record is from RNAcentral.
AUACGUAGGGGGCUAGCGUUGUCCGGAAUUAUUGGGCGUAAAGAGCAUGUAGGCGGUUUUUUAAGUCCGGAGUGAAAAUGCGGGGCUCAACCCCGUAUGGCUCUGGAUACUGGAAGACUUGAGUGCAGGAGAGGAAAGGGGAAUUCCCAGUGUAGCGGUGAAAUGCGUAGAUAUUGGGAGGAACACCAGUGGGGAAGGCGCCUUUCUGGACGGUGUCUGACGCUGGGAUGCGAAAGCCAGGGUAGCGAACGGGAUUAGAUACCCCGGUAGUCCUGGCCGUAAACGAUGGGUACUAGGUGUAGGAGGUAUCGACCCCUUCUGUGCCGGAGUUAACGCAAUAAGUACCCCGCCUGGGGAGUACGUCCGCAAGGAUGAAACUCAAAGGAAUUGACGGGG